Small nuclear RNA from Coregonus clupeaformis (lake whitefish), 193 nucleotides. RefSeq annotates it as U2 spliceosomal RNA. The record is from RefSeq and is a predicted model, not a curated record. Lineage: Eukaryota; Metazoa; Chordata; Actinopteri; Salmoniformes; Salmonidae. The transcript has a single exon.
AUUAUUUUUCCAAAAAAAAAACUAAAAAACUAAAAAAACAUCUGUUCUUAUCAGUUUAAUAUCUGAUACGUCCCCUAUCUGGGGACCAUAUAUUAAAUUGAUUUUUGGAACAGGGAGAUGGAAUAGGGGCUUGCUCCGUCCACUCCGCGCAUCGACCUGGUAUUGCAGUACCUCCAGGAACGGUGCACCCCCU